GUGGACUGGACGGGCGUCUGUAGCGUUUGGACCCCGUCCUCAUCUUCUGCGCUGCUGCCCCGAGACGGCGCGAGGUCUCGGGCGGUGACCCUGACGUCUUGUCCGAAUUCUCGGUACGGAUCCAAAUACCCUGUUUUUGCUUUUGGUCUGUCCCUGAAUACUCCGUGUUCGCGCUAGGGAAGAAGAGGACUCGAGGCCGAGUGGCUCCGGCUGGGAUUCCUACCAGCAAGGCUCUAGCGUUGUGGGACCCUCUCCCCUCCAGCAUCUGCAGCUUCCCGUUGCCUGUUGCAGCACAGUGGGUCUUGACCGAACUGCUGGACUGAACACUACAAAUGAAUGCAAGUCUCACCUCACUUGGUUUGCGGACCGGAAACCUCGAAGCUUGGCCCCUUGCUGAUCCUAAGGGUUUGUGGGUUUCUCAUGAAAUGCACUGCCAAAACCCAGGAGGGCCGGAGAGGCAGGGAUGAGCCCAGUUGAGCAGGAAGUGGACAGGACCUUCUAGAUGAUCUGACUUGUUUCUUACAGGUUGGCCCCUACGUGGGGUGAAGCGUCUUGUCUCUCGCCUUUGCUCCAGCUCUAGCUGCAGGAUGAACUGUCGAUCAGAAGUGCUGGAGGUGUCGGUGGAGGGGCGGCAGGUGGAGGAGGCCAUGCUGGCCGUGCUGCACACAGUGCUGCUUCACCGCAGCACAGGCAAGUUUCACUACAAGAAG
Molecule: long non-coding RNA, 710 nt
Filed under: Rattus norvegicus (Norway rat)
Lineage: Eukaryota; Metazoa; Chordata; Mammalia; Rodentia; Muridae
Description: long non-coding RNA NONRATT026323
Source: RNAcentral